UACGGAGGGUGCAAGCGUUAUCCGGAUUUACUGGGUUUAAAGGGUGCGUAGGCGGGCCUUUAAGUCAGUGGUGAAAUCUCCGGGCUUAACCCGGAAACUGCCGUUGAUACUAUCUGUCUUGAAUAUCGUGGAGGUAAGCGGAAUAUGUCAUGUAGCGGUGAAAUGCUUAGAUAUGACAUAGAACACCCAUUGCGAAGGCAGCUUACUACACGAUCAUUGACGCUGAGGCACGAAAGCGUGGGGAGCAAACAGG
Molecule: ribosomal RNA, 253 nt
Filed under: uncultured bacterium
Lineage: Bacteria
Description: partial 16S ribosomal RNA
Rfam family: Bacterial small subunit ribosomal RNA
Source: RNAcentral